Long non-coding RNA from Haemorhous mexicanus (house finch), 372 nucleotides. RefSeq lists it as uncharacterized. The transcript has 2 exons. Lineage: Eukaryota; Metazoa; Chordata; Aves; Passeriformes; Fringillidae. The record is from RefSeq and is a predicted model, not a curated record.
GGAGAUAUAAUUACAUGCAGGAGGAAAGGGGGAUUCUGCAACUUUGGGAAGUGCCAAUACCCAACAAGAGCUGUUGGCAGAUGUUCAUCAGUCCAAGUGUGCUGCAUUAGUCGCUUUGGAUGAAACCCUGAAAUUCCUAAGAAGAACCUCCCCCUCGCUUCUGGCUGCUGGACCCAUCUGCUGAUGUCCCCAUCUCCUCCUGAUGUCCCCUGCCCUGUGUGCCUGUGCCGUGCCCAGCUGGGCUGACAGCAGCAGUGGCAGCUGCUCCUGCUGGGUGCUGCUGGGCUGGAGCCCUGUGGUGCCAGCCCCGGUGUCUUUGGGGCAGGGGCUGCUUUUCCUGGCUUGAAUAAAGAUGAGCACUUUGGCAUUGCA